UACAGAGGGGGCAAGCGUUAUUCGGAAUUAUUGGGCGUGAAGGGCGCGUAGGCGGCAUGGCAAGUGGAAGGUGAAAUCCCUCGGCUUAACCGAGGAACUGCCUGUCAGACUGGAAGGCUUGAGACCGGGAGAGGUGAGUGGAAUUCCCAGUGUAGCGGUGAAAUGCGUAGAUAUUGGGAGGAACACCAGUGGCGAAGGCGGCUCACUGGACCGGAACUGACGCUGAGGCGCGAAAGCGUGGGGAGCAAACAGG
Molecule: ribosomal RNA, 253 nt
Filed under: uncultured bacterium
Lineage: Bacteria
Description: partial 16S ribosomal RNA
Rfam family: Bacterial small subunit ribosomal RNA
Source: RNAcentral